This 362-nucleotide ribosomal RNA is filed under the name uncultured bacterium. RNAcentral's name for it is "partial 16S ribosomal RNA". It matches the Rfam family "Bacterial small subunit ribosomal RNA", at positions 338 to 697 of the family's 1533-position model. The record is from RNAcentral.
CCUACGGGUGGCAGCAGUGAGGAAUAUUGGUCAAUGGACGCAAGUCUGAACCAGCCAAGCCGCGUGCAGGAAGACGGCUCUAUGAGUUGUAAACUGCUUUUGUACGGGGAUAAACGCAGAUACGCGUGUCUGACUGCAAGUAUCGUACGAAUAAGGAUCGGCUAACUCCGUGCCAGCAGCCGCGGUAAUACGGAAGAUUCAAGCGUUAUCCGGAUUUAUUGGGUUUAAAGGGUGCGUAGGCCGCCGGUUAAGUUAGUGGUGAAAUGCCGCGGCUCAACUUCGGAAUUGCAUCUGAUACUGUUCGGCUUGAGAGUAGUUGCGGUAGGCGGAAUGUAUGGUGUAGCGGUGAAAUGCUUAGAGAU